ACUGAUUUGGGACAGAAGUACUGAUCAGAAUUGGGCUUGCUCAGGUGUUUGCAUUCAGUUAGUGAAUUGGCCAGGGCUGGCUGGUUACUAUGCUUUGCCUGGAAAACCUGAGUUCUGCUCCAUGUGUUUCUCAUAUCACUCCAGCUACCAUUCCCUCCACCCAUGGUAACGGCAGAAGAUUUGAAUUAACUAUUCAGAAAGAAAGUAUCAGUGGCUAAUAAACAUAUUACAAGAAGGUUAUUUCUCAUUACUAAUCAGUGAACACACAUUAAAACAAUUAAAAGGUAAAAUUUUAUACAUGUUAAGAAAGGUUUGUAAAAUUCAUUGUUGGUGAGUGGGAUGGAAAAAUAUAUGCUUUCAUUUAGUUUCAGAGAGAGAAUAAAUUAUUCCCCCACCUUUGGUAGGACUUUCAGCCAUGUGUAUCAGUUUUUAAAUUGAAGCUACUUUUUAAUCCCAAAACUAUUCUUCAAGGUAUCAACCAUAAAAGAAUAUUCAUUAUAAAAGAAUACUCACAGUACUUAUAAAGACGUUUAAAGAUGUUCAUUGUAGCAUUGUGCAAAAUAUCACACAUUGUGGGAAGUUAAAUGUGUAAGUAAAGAUUGAAUACAGCAAUUCCUCAUGCAUCAAAGACUUAGAUGAAAACAAGCGCCACACUCAAAUUAAGUAACUGAACAUAUUUUAAUAAAGGCAUUGUUUACAAUGAUAUGGGUACAAGUUUAGGAAAGCCAGAAAGGGAAAUGUAGUAUCCUGGAGUUUAUAACUAUGGAAAACUCCCAGUAUCUCUUGACCUAAUGGGAAACUCAUGACAGCUGUGUGUAGAAGGCCACCUGAUAAAAGGUAUGACCCUUGGUGGGGGAAGAUGGCAAACAAAUAGAUAACAAGUAUGCAGGAAGGUGGGAAGUAAGUCUCUCAACUUUGCUUUUCUUCUUUCUGUGUCUCCUGCCAGUGGAGCUCUUUCAGGCAGUCGUUUUAGUUCAGUUUCCCAGGACACAGAGCAGUGUGGAGAAGAGUGGAGACUGGAUCCGGACAGACGAAAGGAAGUUAUACGGCAUAACACACACGUCAGUGUUCAAUAGCAGAAAGGAGGUCCGGCAUGCUUUCCGAGUUCUGCCCCUCAACAGACUUUUCAAAGCUAUUUUCUCUACAAAGUCGUUUGCUCUACAAAGAAACUUUCAGAC
Molecule: long non-coding RNA, 1178 nt
Filed under: Piliocolobus tephrosceles (Ugandan red Colobus)
Lineage: Eukaryota; Metazoa; Chordata; Mammalia; Primates; Cercopithecidae
Description: lncRNA (ENSPTEG00000015360.1)
Source: RNAcentral